This 1326-nucleotide long non-coding RNA is filed under the name Salmo salar (Atlantic salmon). Its description in RNAcentral is "lncRNA (ENSSSAG00000114545.1)". Lineage: Eukaryota; Metazoa; Chordata; Actinopteri; Salmoniformes; Salmonidae. The record is from RNAcentral.
GUGUUGAGUUUUCACACCGAGAGUGAAUUAAAGAGAGAGAGUGAGGUUAGGUGGCGGACAACGAAAGAUGGCAAACAACAAGUAGUAUAUCAAACUGUAUAGCGCCAGGCUGUAUGAAUUGUCUCCAAACAAAAAUCCCCCAUCAUCAGCUGCCCCCAAGGACCCACAACUUUUGAAGAAGUGGCUCCUCAUGUUCUGAAGAGAAAGGAAGUGCCAGCUCAAUUUAGUAGGAUCUGGCGACAGCACUUCGUGGAGGAAGACUUUGCGACGAUGGGGAACUUUCGAUGCGGCAACCGAAGGGUUUCUGUGGGAGCAAAACUCAUGACUCUGAUUCCAUUUCCAUUAUUAGCAGCAUUUAGGCUGUUUGAAGAGCAGAGACAGAAUGGCUAUAUAAGGAAUGGAACAUAUAGGACCAGGUCCCUGCUAGCAUUAUAACCUAUACAGCUGUCAGAUGUGGGCCGUUAACAAGCAACAACUGAGAUGGAGAGAUAAUGGUAAAGAACGGUCAAGGGAAGCUAUUUUCAUAUAGAGGGAGGGGACUCCUCUAUACGUUAUGCAAAGACAGAAUCAUAUAAAGAUGGGACUCUGUAAUAUGAGAAUUUAGUAUUUUUCAUGGAAGGACUCGGCUUUGCUACUCUAGGGCUAGGGGGCAGUAUUUACACGGCCGGAUAAAAAACGUACCCGAUUUAAUCUGGUUACUACUCCUGCCCAGAAACUACAAUAUGCAUAUAAUUAUUGGCUUUGGAUAGAAAACACCCUAAAGUUUCUAAAACUGUUUGAAUGGUGUCUGUGAGUAUAACAGAACUCAUAUGGCAGGCAAAAACCUGAGAAGAUUCUGUACAGGAACUACCCUCUCUGACCAUUCCUUGGGCUUCUUGGCUCUGUUUAUUGAAAACUUAGGAUCUUUGCUGUAACGUGACACUUCCUACGGCUCCCAUAGGCUCUCAGAACCCGGGAAAAAGCUGAAUGAUGUAAUUCCAGCCCCUGGCUGAAAAACAUUAGCGCCUUUGGUAAGUGGUCUAUCAGAGGACAAUGAGACUGAGGCGCGUGCACUAGGCGACCCCAUGUUUUUAUUUUCUCUCUCUUUGAACUAAAACACGAUUUCCCGGUCGGAAUAUUAUCGCUUGUUUACGAGAAAAAUGACGUCACCCUUCUUUACCCUUUCGGAUAGUGUCUUAAACGCACGAACAAAACAGAGGAUAUUUGAACAUAACUAUGGAUUAUUUUGAACCAAACCAACAUUUGUUAUUGAAGUAGAAGUCCUGGGAGUGCAUUCUGACGAAGAACAGCAAAGAGUCGAGGAUAAAAGCGACAGAACAGAGGAGG